CUCAUAGGAUACUUAUCAAAAGCUUAAUUUUGUAUUGGGUCGGGGCAUCCUAUUAGUAAACCCAUUUGGACGGAUUUAUCAUAUUUGGAUAUUCUUGAUCGAUUUGGUCAGAUAUGUAGAUUUUUUUCAUUAUCACUAGAACAAUGCCCGUGUUGCAACGGGAUAUAA
RNAcentral lists this ribosomal RNA (168 nucleotides) under Triticum aestivum (bread wheat). RNAcentral's name for it is "partial small subunit ribosomal RNA". The record is from RNAcentral. Lineage: Eukaryota; Viridiplantae; Streptophyta; Magnoliopsida; Poales; Poaceae.